ACAGUAUGUGGGAAUUAUGGGAGCUAUAAUUCAAGAUGAGAUUUGGGUGGGACACAGCCAAACCAUAUCACUAGGUAAGAAGAGGGCUCCAUGCUAAGGAACAGGAUAUGCAAAGACCCUGUGGCAGGAGGAACUCUACCUGCUUUUUUGAAGAAUUCCAUAAGGUAGCCUUCAGUGGAGCUGAGUAGAGAGUGGGGGAGAGUGGGCUAAAACAUGAGGGGAGAAGUAGGCAAAAGCUAAAUCUCAUCAGGACCUUAUAGACAAUUGACAGAUGUUUGUCUUUAUCCAGUAAGGUGUUUGUAUGCUCCUUAAGUGGCAGCGGGGAGUGAGCAGAGCAGUGAAGAUAAACAUGAAAGCUGGUGGUAACAAAUUCUGAUACCUCCUCUAUUCCAAAAGGAAAGGCAGAACUCAGAGGCACCAUCCUCCUGUUGUGUUUGCAAGCUGUUGACACAACCUGGAAAGGUUAAAAGUUUUCAACAGACUUGUCAGAGUUUGUGUUCAAUGGAAACUGACAGAGCCUACCGGCUGAGGGGCUAAUUUUAAUAGAAAUAACCUAGGUGCGUUUGUUAAUUUUCUCCGUUCCCUCAAUGACCUGUCUGCAUAGCGUGAAGGUGCUUUGAUGUGACCAGGAGAACAGAAGGAUAUUUUGUGCAUAGCUGACCGUGAGAGGAAUGCUGGUUUUGCAAUGAGGAAGCACAGGAAGAUGACAGAACAAUGAGCAUAAGACAUGCUGGGUGCAUUUUUUGGACCUUACCACAUCUUGUUUGAGAGAAGUGGGACCAAUGCUGAUGAAACUCUUUCCCAUGGUGUGUUCUAUAUUCAUUGGAUGGGCAUCGCCUACGGCUGGAGCAGGGCUGAGCUCUGUACUGGUGUCUCUUAAAACACACCAGACAGCAACAGCUGAGAUACCUACUACCUGGAUCUGCUUGAUUAGAUCAUACGGUCAUAUUUGAUUACUUAGAAUGGGAAGUACAAUCUCCAGAAAACUGAAACUCCAGCUUUUCCUCCUUGAUCGUAGCUUAUUUUUCUUGGCUAACUUCAGAAAAUUCUUCAAGCCAGGAGGCUUUCUAAGCUUACUCCUGAUGCAGUUAAAACUCAAAGGUUUCUGGAAGCCAAUGAAAAUCCUCACCUCUGACUGAAAUGGAAUUUCAAGGGAAAGAAAAUACAACGUAUUUUAUGAGGUCAGGUCUCCCAUAAGGUGUUAAAGGCAUUGUUCAGAGGUGCCACCUAGCAACUUCUCCCAGAACAAAAGAUUAGCCAUAGGUACUUCUUGUGUCUGGUUUUUGAGUUUAAAAUAGGAACAGGCAAAGGAUGCAUUUGGCAGCAUCCUUCAUCUAUUCCUGUUUAAACUUCUAUCAAUAAAAGUUUAGUUCUAUUAAUAAACAUGUCUCUUGACUUUGUUGUGAAAUAGAAUUGGUGAAGGCACAAAGUGGCUUAUUUUACUACUUAUGAGGCAGGCGUAUUAUAUAUGACAUAGACCAACUGGAAUUAUGGAUGGUAUUUCAUAAAAUAGUGUCAAAGAUUGCAGGCCAGGGAGACAGAAAGAAGUAUACUUGAUUUUCUUGAGAGUCACUUUGCACUUAAAUACCCAAAUACCGAAAGUUUAAACACAUUUUCAUGAUUCCUUUGUAUAAAAAGUGAACAGAAUGGCUACCGUUGUAAUUUUGCUGCUUCUAGCAAUUCACCAGCAAAAUACAUCCCAAAAUAGCAGAUAUACAAUGCAGCAUAUGCUUUGGUGAAUCUAAUAAUUUCGUGAACUCGUUCGCUGUUGGGCUGGUAAUCUACAUAGCUUUAACGGUGAACUUUAUAAAAUUCGGAGCCUCAUGCAUCAGAAGGUAAAAAACAAAAGUGGACAGUUUUAACAACGAUGGAUGAGUUGCUAGGGAAUAAAAUUAAAUGGUUGAUAAUAAUUGUGGUAGCUCACGAAGACUGAUGUUAUUUACAAAAGCUCCAUUUUGCAUGUAAUCAGAUGUCUAUUCCCAUGAGCUGGGUCAUAAUUCAUAUUCCACUUUAAUGUUCAUGGAAAAUGUGCUUCUCUCUGUGUACGUAUUAUUUUUAGGAUGUUAUGUUUCCUUGGUGCAUACACAAUGAGCCUGAAAUCCUUUAGGAAUGUGUUUAAUUUGAAAGUUUUAUCCUCUGGGCCUGGUUAAUUCAAAUACAUGGCUAGGAACAUUAUUGUAGGCCCUGAAAGAAUGUAGGCAUGGCAAAUUAUGUGCAUAAAGGCAACUCCAACCCAUGUUGCCAACGCUCAUUUGGUAAAAGGUAGUGAGGAGGAUUAUUUUUUCCUUCCAAACUUUUUUCUUCAUCCACUCAUUUAAUUUUUCUGCACUAAUUCUUUACGUUAAUAAGCUUGAUUUACACUGGACCAGAUUUCUUCUACUUUUAAACUCAGAACCGUGUCUGGUGGCUCUUUUGUAUUAAAAUCAUCAGCCCAGGGAGCUUUUACGAACUUAUGUCCUCAGUCCACAAGGUGUCCUGUGUUCACCCUUAUAUUCUCUUCUAUCCUUAGUCACAAAGACUGUCUGAGUCGCAUUUUCAUCUCUAGAAACUGGAAGAAGUUCUAAGAGUGUGAGGUAAUGACUCAAGGACAACAGCUCCCAGAAAAUAACAGGGUUUGCCCUGCUGCUUUGGAGGAGGUUCUCCUGAAUCAUGUCACUGAAGCACAGCUAGGGCCCGGGACCUGGGACCACAGCCCUUGAAGGGAAUGAGCGGCUGUCUGGGGGCUGAAAGUUCUCUCAGGAGAGGCGUUUUCACAAGGCUUUGUGAUACCGAGCCUCAGGCGUGGACAGAGACGUGUUUUAGGAUUUGAGAAGCCUGUGGAGAAAUUAAGUCAUGUCCCAGUGUACAGUGCUAUGCCAUAAGAAUGGCUAGAACUUUCAGGGGCAUCCUGGAGCUUGACCCUGGCUCAUCAUUUUAUACAUGAAGGGGCUUUGGGUCACGGAGGCAUGGGUUUGCGUCCUGUCUGUUUGAUUCAUUAGAUAUGUGAUCUGGGCCUAAAACUUCGGAGAUCUUAAACACCGAAAACCUUGGGGCACUUUUGCCUUGCUCCCAACCAUGAAAUACAAAAACCAAAGCAAAACAAACAAAAAGUAAGCCAGAAGAUAUAAAAUUGCUUAUAGGUCUGUUGUCUAACAUCAAGUGCGGAAAGGGGUCUAACAAAUUUCCAGCUGGGUGCGGUGGCUCACACCUUUAAUCCCAGCACUUUGGGAGGCUGAGGCAGGCAGAUUGCUUGAGCUCAA
Molecule: long non-coding RNA, 3239 nt
Filed under: Homo sapiens (human)
Lineage: Eukaryota; Metazoa; Chordata; Mammalia; Primates; Hominidae
Description: HSALNT0381605
Source: RNAcentral